UACGUAGGGUGCGAGCGUUAAUCGGAAUUACUGGGCGUAAAGCGUGCGUAGGCGGUUUCGCAAGUCAGAUGUGAAAUCCCCGGGCUUAACCUGGGAACUGCGUUUGAAACUACGGAGCUAGAGUGCGGCAGAGGGGGGUGGAAUUCCACGUGUAGCAGUGAAAUGCGUAGAUAUGUGGAGGAACACCGAUGGCGAAGGCAACCCCCUGGGUCGACACUGACGCUGAGGCACGAAAGCGUGGGGAGCAAACAGG
Molecule: ribosomal RNA, 253 nt
Filed under: uncultured bacterium
Lineage: Bacteria
Description: partial 16S ribosomal RNA
Rfam family: Bacterial small subunit ribosomal RNA
Source: RNAcentral